Molecule: ribosomal RNA, 287 nt
Filed under: cyanobiont ZPQP 42D of Zamia portoricensis
Lineage: Bacteria; Bacillati; Cyanobacteriota
Description: partial 16S ribosomal RNA
Rfam family: Bacterial small subunit ribosomal RNA
Source: RNAcentral
CUAAUACCGGAUGUGCCGCAAGGUAAAAGGCUUGCUGCCUGAAGAUGAGCUCGCGUCUGAUUAGCUAGUAGGUGGGGUAAGAGCCUACCUAGGCGACGAUCAGUAGCUGGUCUGAGAGGACGAUCAGCCACACUGGGACUGAGACACGGCCCAGACUCCUACGGGAGGCAGCAGUGGGGAAUUUUCCGCAAUGGGCGAAAGCCUGACGGAGCAAUACCGCGUGAGGGAGGAAGGCUCUUGGGUUGUAAACCUCUUUUCUCAGGGAAGAACAAAAUGACGGUACCUGA